UAUUAAAAAUUUCAUCUCUUUGUACUGUUAAAAAAUGAUGUGGUUGACAAAACAACAAGACAGUGAUGUUUGACGUGCCACGUGUACCUCAUGCUGACAUAUAAAAAUUAUUUUUUAAUAAUAGAAAUAGAUGUAAGGAUUAUUU
Gossypium raimondii (Peruvian cotton) is the source of this 145-nucleotide non-coding RNA. Lineage: Eukaryota; Viridiplantae; Streptophyta; Magnoliopsida; Malvales; Malvaceae. The record is from Rfam.